Molecule: ribosomal RNA, 484 nt
Filed under: uncultured bacterium
Lineage: Bacteria
Description: partial 16S ribosomal RNA
Rfam family: Bacterial small subunit ribosomal RNA
Source: RNAcentral
AUUGAACGCUGGCGGCAGGCCUAACACAUGCAAGUCGAGCGGAUGAAGGGAGCUUGCUCCUGGAUUCAGCGGCGGACGGGUGAGUAAUGCCUAGGAAUCUGCCUGGUAGUGGGGGAUAACGUCCGGAAACGGGCGCUAAUACCGCAUACGUCCUGAGGGAGCAAGUGGGGGAUCUUCGGACCUCACGCUAUCAGAUGAGCCUAGGUCGGAUUAGCUAGUUGGUGGGGUAAAGGCCUACCAAGGCGACGAUCCGUAACUGGUCUGAGAGGAUGAUCAGUCACACUGGAAGUGAGACACGGUCCAGACGCCUACGGGAGGCAGCAGUGGGGAAUAGUGGACAAAGGGCGAAAGCCUGAUCCAGCCAUGGCGCGUGUGUGAAGAAGGUCUUCGGAUUGUAAAGAACUUUAAGUUGGGAGGAAGGGCAGUAAGUUAAGACCUUGCUGUUGUGACGGUACCAACAGAAUAAGCACCGGCUAACUUCGUG